UACGUAGGGGGCAAGCGUUGUCCGGAUUUAUUGGGCGUAAAGAGCGUGUAGGCGGCUUUACAGGUCCGUUGUGAAAACUCGAGGCUCAACCUCGAGACGCCGGUGGAAACCGUAAAGCUAGAGUCCGGAAGAGGAGAGUGGAAUUCCUGGUGUAGCGGUGAAAUGCGCAGAUAUCAGGAGGAACACCCGUGGCGAAAGCGGCUCUCUGGGACGGUACUGACGCUGAGACGCGAAAGCGUGGGGAGCGAACCGG
This 253-nucleotide ribosomal RNA is filed under the name uncultured bacterium. Its description in RNAcentral is "partial 16S ribosomal RNA". It matches the Rfam family "Bacterial small subunit ribosomal RNA", at positions 524 to 776 of the family's 1533-position model. The record is from RNAcentral.